GAUGAACGCUGGCGGCGUGCCUAAUACAUGCAAGUCGAGCGAACGGACGAGAAGCUUGCUUCUCUGAUGUUAGCGGCGGACGGGUGAGUAACACGUGGAUAACCUACCUAUAAGACUGGGAUAACUUCGGGAAACCGGAGCUAAUACCGGAUAAUAUUUUGAUCUGCAUGGUUCAAAAGUAAAAGACGGUCUUGCUGUCACUUAUAGAUGGAUCCGCGCUGCAUUAGCUAGUUGGUAAGGUAACGGCUUACCAAGGCAACGAUGCAUAGCCGACCUGAGAGGGUGAUCGGCCACACUGGAACUGAGACACGGUCCAGACUCCUACGGGAGGCAGCAGUAGGGAAUCUUCCGCAAUGGGCGAAAGCCUGACGGAGCAACGCCGCGUGAGUGAUGAAGGUCUUCGGAUCGUAAAACUCUGUUAUUAGGGAAGAACAUAUGUGUAAGUAACUGUGCGCAUCUUGACGGUACCUAAUCAGAAAGCCACGGCUAACUACGUGCCAGCAGCCGCGGUAAUACGUAGGUGGCAAGCGUUAUCCGGAAUUAUUGGGCGUAAAGCGCGCGUAGGCGGCUUUUUAAGUCUGAUGUGAAAGCCCACGGCUCAACCGUGGAGGGUCAUUGGAAACUGGAAAACUUGAGUGCAGAAGAGGAAAGUGGAAUUCCAUGUGUAGCGGUGAAAUGCGCAGAGAUAUGGAGGAACACCAGUGGCGAAGGCGACUUUCUGGUCUGUAACUGACGCUGAUGUGCGAAAGCGUGGGGAUCAAACAGGAUUAGAUACCCUGGUAGUCCACGCCGUAAACGAUGAGUGCUAAGUGUUAGGGGGUUUCCGCCCCUUAGUGCUGCAGCUAACGCAUUAAGCACUCCGCCUGGGGAGUACGACCGCAAGGUUGAAACUCAAAGGAAUUGACGGGGACCCGCACAAGCGGUGGAGCAUGUGGUUUAAUUCGAAGCAACGCGAAGAACCUUACCAAAUCUUGACAUCCUUUGACAACUCUAGAGAUAGAGCCUUCCCCUUCGGGGGACAAAGUGACAGGUGGUGCAUGGUUGUCGUCAGCUCGUGUCGUGAGAUGUUGGGUUAAGUCCCGCAACGAGCGCAACCCUUAAGCUUAGUUGCCAUCAUUAAGUUGGGCACUCUAAGUUGACUGCCGGUGACAAACCGGAGGAAGGUGGGGAUGACGUCAAAUCAUCGUGCCCCUUAUGAUUUGGGCUACACACGUGCUACAAUGGACAAUACAAAGGGCAGCGAAACCGCGAGGUCAAGCAAAUCCCAUAAAGUUGUUCUCAGUUCGGAUUGUAGUCUGCAACUCGACUACACGAAGCUGGAAUCGCUAGUAAUCGUAGAUCAGCAUGCUACGGUGAAUACGUUCCCGGGUCU
This 1372-nucleotide ribosomal RNA is filed under the name uncultured bacterium. RNAcentral's name for it is "bacterial SSU rRNA". It matches the Rfam family "Bacterial small subunit ribosomal RNA", at positions 28 to 1381 of the family's 1533-position model. The record is from RNAcentral.